RNAcentral lists this ribosomal RNA (250 nucleotides) under Methanobrevibacter sp. RNAcentral's name for it is "partial 23S ribosomal RNA". It matches the Rfam family "Archaeal large subunit ribosomal RNA", at positions 2742 to 2987 of the family's 2987-position model. The record is from RNAcentral. Lineage: Archaea; Methanobacteriati; Methanobacteriota; Methanobacteria; Methanobacteriales; Methanobacteriaceae.
GUGGCUCCAGUACGAGAGGAACGAGUUGUCGGCGCCUCUGGUCGACCGGUUGUCUGAUAAGGCAUUGCCGGGCAGCUACGCGCUAGGUGAUAAAGGCUGAAAGCAUCUAAGCCUGAGGUAUCCCCUGAAAAUAGAUUGCUUUUGAGGACGCGAGUAGAAGACUUGUUUGAUGGGGUAGGGAUGUACGCUUCGAGGUUUUUUUUCCGAGUUGUUUAGUCCGCUACUUCCAAUUGUUCGCUUGCAUUAUUUU